RNAcentral lists this ribosomal RNA (486 nucleotides) under uncultured bacterium. Its description in RNAcentral is "partial 16S ribosomal RNA". It matches the Rfam family "Bacterial small subunit ribosomal RNA", at positions 28 to 507 of the family's 1533-position model. The record is from RNAcentral.
GAUGAACGCUGGCGGCGUGCCUAAUACAUGCAAGUCGAACGCUGGAACUCUAGCUUGCUAGAUUGAAGGAGUGGCGAACGGGUGAGUAAUACAUAAGCAACCUACCCACGAAGACUGGGAUAAUCUCUGGAAACGGGGACUAAUACCGGUUAGGUAAUCGGAAGGCAUCUUCUGAUUAUUAAAGGUUAAAAACACUGGUGGAUGGGCUUAUGGCGCAUUAGUUAGUUGGUGAGGUAACGGCCCACCAAGACGAUGAUGCGUAGCCGGCCUGAGAGGGUGAACGGCCACAUUGUGACUGGGACACGGCCCAGACGCCUACGGGAGGCAGCAGUAGGGGAUUUUCGGCAAUGGGGGAAACCCUGACCGAGCGACGCCGCGUGAGUGAUGACGGCCUUCGGGUUGUAAAGCUCUGGUGUAAGGGAAGAACGGUAGAUAGAGAAUAUCUAAAUGACGGUACCUUACCAGAAAGCCACGGCUAACUACGUG